Molecule: long non-coding RNA, 1546 nt
Organism: Papaver somniferum (opium poppy)
Lineage: Eukaryota; Viridiplantae; Streptophyta; Magnoliopsida; Ranunculales; Papaveraceae
Exons: 3
Source: RefSeq, a predicted model, not a curated record
UUAUUUUCUAUGUUAUGUGUUAUUUCCUAAUCUCUUUUGCGUUUUUUUCAUCGAAUUCUGGAGUAUGGUUGUUGAUGGGUUCCUCUUCAAUGGAAUCAAAUCAAGAUGACCGGUUACUUUGUAAAAGGGUUUUUUUUGAUUGAUUUUGCUUCAAAUUCCCUAAUUUUUACUAAUUGAGGUGUGAUUGGUUGAUGGGUUCUUUACUGUGGAAGCAUUACAUGGCCAAAACACUAUAAUCAGGUUACGAUUGAUUCUAUUUUCUUUUUUUUAUUGCGGUGUGAUUUGUUGAUUGAUUCCUUUCAGCGAAUCAGUUCAAGGAAAGCUUUUCAAAGCCCUAAUGGUUAAGCUAUUAAACAGUAUCAAUAUAAGUCGUUUUUGGAUUUUAUGAUUUUGGGGGUUUCAAUGAUUUUGUUGUUUCUUCAAUGGGUUCUAGUUCUAACUGAUUUGGGUUUCAUUUUAGAGGUGGUAUAGCUUAUUUAAAACACAUUGAAGAAGACUAAUGGGAACUGAAUCGGUUAAGGCAGUUUACAAGACAGAAGAAUUGAAAGAAAAUGUGCAAAAUGGUUAGCAAUACCAUAACAGGGUUCUUGUUUCUUUCGCUGCUGCUGCUUGUAGCUUCCAGAUAUGACUGUUGGUGCACAAGCGACCAAAUCAUUGCUUGGGUUGGGUCCUCAGCCUCUGUGGCUUUCACAUCUUUCAUGCUCAUGAUCAGAUCAAAUCUUCAAAGUUUAAACUAAAUUGGAGUUUUAUGUUACUGGCAGUUAGUAAUUAAACCUCUGCAGAUGAAGCUAGUGGUGGUAAAACUCUAUACGGUGAAAAUCUAUUUUGUGCUGUGUUGGUGACUUGGUAUGAUGUUGAUAAGGAUUAAGUAGUUUCAGAGAGAGUAAAGUAAUUCAGUCGUUUCAUCAUGCUUUUUGCAAACCAUGUUCCGGAAACAGGGAAUGCAAGAGGACUUUGAUACAUUUGAAGGAGGCCAUAAAGAUCCUGUUGGUCUUGCUUGCUUUUGGAGGUGGAUGCAUCUUACAUAAGUGAAUAAGGUCUUUAUGGGUUGGGCUAUUGGCAUCCUCUUCUCGAGGUUUGUCUUUAACUGAUGAUGUUAAGAUGGGUGCUGGUUUUACCACAGGUCUAAACCCAGCAGAAGCUGUAGGCUUCCAAUAUGGAUUUAAAGAAAUUCAGAAAAUUGGUGAUUGCAAUAUAGUAGUUCCACAGGUUAAAGGGCAGGUCUUUAGCUGUUCCUGGAGGGAGAGCCGAAGUGAUAAUGCAAGAUGCUAAGAUUUCACCCUCUGGGUUCACACUUGUCAAUAUCUCACACUUGCCAUUUUGUCUAGACAGUAUAUUUAUGAAGAAAUGUUUUAAGAUCUCUAUUACUGCUAAUAGUUUAGCACAUUCUUUGUUGCUACUAUGUGGUCCUGAAGCACAAGGGGAUUUUAAAUUUAACAGGAAUUACAAUCAACAACAGAUAUUGAGAUCUAAUUAACUGUUUGUUUGAUUUCAUAGUUAGAUUGUGAAAUUUGUUAAAACAGCGGAGAUAGUAAAUAGAUAGAUC